CCAACCUUUUCAGGCACAAAGGGGUCCUCCCAACGCAGUUUAUUUCCAACCUGCUCAGGCACAAAGAGGUCCUCCCAACUCAGUUUAUUUUCAACCUGUUCAGGCACAGAGGGGUCCUCCCAACGCAGUUUAUUUCCAACCUGCUCAGGCACAAAGGGGUCCUCCCAACUCAGUUUAUUACCAACCUGUUCAGGCACAAAGGGGUCCUCCCAACGCAGGGGCAGAUGACUUGAGAAUGAGUAUGUUUAAUUAUGCAAGAGACGAUGAGAGGUAUCGUGAUACAGAACAAGGAGGCAGAGGGAGAGGAAGGGGAAGGGGAAGGGGAAGAAAGGGUCAGGGGAGGGGUAGAGGGAGAGGAUGGGGUUGAUUUGGUUGACUUUUUGACCUUCCUCCCUAUUGUUUACUUCCCCAUAUCAUCUUGGUGUGUAAAGUAUCAUAAUGGAGUUCCAAACAUGCAAAUUGUGAGAUUUUCUCUGCUUUGGCUGCCCUUAUAUUUCACCUUGAAGAAUCAG
Molecule: non-coding RNA, 512 nt
Organism: Corylus avellana
Lineage: Eukaryota; Viridiplantae; Streptophyta; Magnoliopsida; Fagales; Betulaceae
Source: RefSeq, a predicted model, not a curated record